CGAGCGCACCCUUGUCCUUAUUUGCCAGCAGCGUAAUGGUGGGAACUCUAAGGAGACUGCCGGUGACAAACCGGAGGAAGGUGGGGACGACGUCAAGUCAUCAUGGCCCUUAUGACCAGGGCUACACACGUGCUACAAUGGGGCGUACAGAGGGUUGCUAACUCGCGAGGGGGAGCCAAUCCCAGAAAACCUUUCGUAGUCCGGAUCGAAGUCUGCAACUCGACUUCGUGAAGUCGGAAUCGCUAGUAAUCGCGAAUCAGCAAUGUCGCGGUGAAUACGUUCCCGGGCCUUGCACACACCGCCCGU
RNAcentral lists this ribosomal RNA (306 nucleotides) under uncultured bacterium. RNAcentral describes it as "SSU rRNA". It matches the Rfam family "Bacterial small subunit ribosomal RNA", at positions 1093 to 1397 of the family's 1533-position model. The record is from RNAcentral.